This 584-nucleotide ribosomal RNA is filed under the name uncultured bacterium. RNAcentral describes it as "partial 16S ribosomal RNA". It matches the Rfam family "Bacterial small subunit ribosomal RNA", at positions 355 to 1363 of the family's 1533-position model. The record is from RNAcentral.
UGAGGAAUAUUGGUCAAUGGGCGAGAGCCUGAACCAGCCAAGUCGCGUGAAGGAAGACUGCCUUAUGGGUUGUAAACUUCUUUUAUACAGGAAUAAAAAGGCUUACGUGUAGGCCAUUGCAAGUACUGUAUGAAUAAGCAUCGGCUAACUCCGUGCCAGCAGCCGCGGUAAUACGGAGGAUGCGAGCGUUAUCCGGAUUUAUUGGGUUUAAAGGGUGCGCAGGCGGGCUUUUAAGUCAGCGGUGAAAUCUGGACGCUUAACGUCCAAACUGCCGUUGAAACUGGGAGUCUUGAGUAUGGAUGAAGUAGGCGGAAUUCGUUGUGUAGCGGUGACAUGCAUAGAUAUAACGAGGAACUCCGAUUGCGUAGGCAGCUUACUAAGCCAUAACUGACGCUCAUGCACGAAAAGCGUGGGGAUCAAACAGGAUUAGAUACCCUGGUAGUCCACGCCGUAAAACGAUGAUUACUAGUUGUAUGCGAUAUGAUAGUAUGCGACUAAGCGAAAGCGAUAAGUAAUCCACCUGGGGAGUACGCCGGCAACGGUGAAACUCAAAGGAAUUGACGGGGGUCAUAGCUGUUUUCCUG